RNAcentral lists this ribosomal RNA (492 nucleotides) under uncultured bacterium. RNAcentral's name for it is "partial 16S ribosomal RNA". It matches the Rfam family "Bacterial small subunit ribosomal RNA", at positions 29 to 507 of the family's 1533-position model. The record is from RNAcentral.
AUUGAACGCUGGCGGUAUGCUUUACACAUGCAAGUCGAACGGUAACAGGCCUUCGGGUGCUGACGAGUGGCGAACGGGUGAGUAAUGCAUCGGAACGUACCCAGAGGUGGGGGAUAACGCAGCGAAAGCUGUGCUAAUACCGCAUGUGAUCUGAGGAUGAAAGCGGGGGACCGAGCAGCAAUGUUUGGCCUCGCGCCUUUGGAGCGGCCGAUGUCGGAUUAGCUAGUUGGUGGGGUAAGGGCCUACCAAGGCGACGAUCCGUAGCUGGUCUGAGAGGACGACCAGCCACACUGGGACUGAGACACGGCCCAGACUCCUACGGGAGGCAGCAGUGGGGAAUUUUGGACAAUGGGCGCAAGCCUGAUCCAGCAAUGCCGCGUGCGGGAAGAAGGCCUUCGGGUUGUAAACCGCUUUUGGCAGGAACGAAACGGUGUCCGCUAAUACCGGGCGCUAAUGACGGUACCUGCAGAAUAAGCACCGGCUAACUACGUG